This is a long non-coding RNA of Zea mays, 884 nucleotides long. RefSeq lists it as uncharacterized. Lineage: Eukaryota; Viridiplantae; Streptophyta; Magnoliopsida; Poales; Poaceae. The record is from RefSeq and is a predicted model, not a curated record. The transcript is spliced from 2 exons.
GGAGUGGGCUGCGGCACCGCGACAAUGCCACAUGGUUCGGCUGGGUUCUGGGCCUGGAAAGGUAACCCAGUGGGCAUGGCCUUUGGCUGGGCUGCUGCAUGCAUACGAUUCGUCACUUGCCGCCGCUGUCACGACUCGACUAGCGAGGCACCGCUGGCUGAGGAAGUUGCUUUUCCCUUCUUUUCGUGUGCCUCAGCAAGCAGUCACCUCUUUUUUUUUUUCCAAAUACUAGGUACAAAUCUAAAUGGAGCAGCGACGGUUUUGGCCUGUCCGAGGAGGAGCGAGGACUCGAGCGACAGUCGAGCCUUACUCAGAUUGUCUCCCGCAAAAGACCUCACAGCCACCGAGGAUGAAUGCGUGACAAAUGCCGAGGAGGAGUCCGCGCGCGCCAGACUGUCCAGAGGAGAGACGUCGAGGCUGUAGAAGAACCGGUGGAUCUUGUUCUCGACGGCGUGCUCAUCCUUUCGGCGGCAUGCUCGUCAUCCCAGUGGCGUGAUCAUCCUCCCGGCGGCCGGUGUGCUAUGCUUGUCUUCCUGGCGGCGUGCUCCUCCCUCCUCCCGGUGGCGUGGUCUCCUGACGGCGUGCUCGUUCAGAAAAUUUCUUCGGGGCCAACAAGCUGCGAGGGAACGAGUUUUUGUUGUCCAGCUCAUUCAGAAAAUUUCUACGGGGUCAAAUGUUGCAUGCUACGAGCUUGUUGCACGACACUCGGAAGGUGUUUGAUGAAACGCUCAAGCCAACACCAUUCCGAUUUUCCAAUUUUUUUGUAAUUUCUAAUCCAUGCCCGGUAUACUGAGACUCAGUGAAGCAAAUCAUUUAUUUAAUUUCUAAUUUGUGUGGUACGUUACUUUACCUUAUAAAUAUACGUUAUUUUUUCAUGAUAUUUA